GACGAACGCUGGCGGCGUGCCUAAUACAUGCAAGUUGAGCGCUGAAGGUUGGUACUUGUACCAACUGGAUGAGCAGCGAACGGGUGAGUAACGCGUGGGGAAUCUGCCUUUGAGCGGGGGACAACAUUGGGAAACGAAUGCUAAUACCGCAUAAAAACUUUAAACACAAGGUUGAAGUGUGAAAGAUGCAAUUGCAUCACUCAAAGAUGAUCCCGCGUUGUAUUAGCUAGUUGGUGAGGUAAAGGCUCACCAAGGCGAUGAUACAUAGCCGACCUGAGAGGGUGAUCGGCCACAUUGGGACUGAGACACGGCCCAAACUCCUACGGGAGGCAGCAGUAGUGAAUCUUCGGCAAUGGACGAAAGUCUGACCGAGCAACGCCGCGUGAGUGAAGAAGGUUUUCGGAUCGUAAAACUCUGUUGGUAGGGAAGAACGUUGGUGAGAGUGGAAAGCUCAUCAAGUGACGGUAACUACCCAGAAAGGGACGGCUAACUACGUG
This 497-nucleotide ribosomal RNA is filed under the name uncultured bacterium. RNAcentral's name for it is "partial 16S ribosomal RNA". It matches the Rfam family "Bacterial small subunit ribosomal RNA", at positions 28 to 507 of the family's 1533-position model. The record is from RNAcentral.